RNAcentral lists this ribosomal RNA (269 nucleotides) under uncultured Lachnospiraceae bacterium. Its description in RNAcentral is "partial 16S ribosomal RNA". It matches the Rfam family "Bacterial small subunit ribosomal RNA", at positions 71 to 339 of the family's 1533-position model. Lineage: Bacteria; Bacillati; Bacillota; Clostridia; Lachnospirales; Lachnospiraceae. The record is from RNAcentral.
UUCGGGGUGAUUGCUUUGUGACUGAGUGGCGGACGGGUGAGUAACGCGUGGGUAACCUGCCUCAUACAGGGGGAUAACAGCUGGAAACGGCUGCUAAUACCGCAUAAGCGCACAGUACCGCAUGAUACAGUGUGAAAAACUCCGGUGGUAUGAGAUGGACCCGCGUCUGAUUAGCUAGUUGGUGAGGUAACGGCCCACCAAGGCAACGAUCAGUAGCCGGCCUGAGAGGGUGAACGGCCACAUUGGGACUGAGACACGGUCCAAACUCC